This 5695-nucleotide long non-coding RNA is filed under the name Brassica napus (rape). RNAcentral's name for it is "long non-coding RNA (BNAP_LNC011010)". Lineage: Eukaryota; Viridiplantae; Streptophyta; Magnoliopsida; Brassicales; Brassicaceae. The record is from RNAcentral.
UGACUCACUUAGUUAACUAGGUAACUUAUUGGAAGGUAAAGAUAGUAAAAGAUAGGAGAGUAGAGAGGUAAAUGCUGUCACAGUACCCCCUGCUUGAGAUCAUCCUUGUCCUCAAGGAUGGAAAUGAGGAUACUGAGCAAUGAAGUCCUUGUAGAACUCUCAUGUUGCGUCUUCAGGACGUUCCCCUUUCCACUGGACCAAGACUUUAGUGACAGCUAAGUUGCGACGUUUUGCCAUCUUUGUUUCCAAAAUCAUCUCAGGUUCCUUGGAAGUUCCCAAAUCAGACCAAAACUGUGGCACCGUUGGAGAUGAAGUAGGAGGGUUUGGACAAAGCUUUAGCUGGCUCACAUGAAACACAUUGUGUACUGCGGCCUCAGGGGGAAGUUCCAAGCGAUAAGCUGCAGAGCCUACUGUGUCGGUGACCUUAAAGGGGCCGUAGUAGCGUGGAGACAAUUUAUGCGGGAUUUUCCUGUUCUUGAGUGUGUUCUGUCGGUAGGGUUGGAGCUUGAGGUACACGUAGUUGCCAACCACAAACACCCUCUGUGAUCUGUGUGAAUCAGCGGCUUGCCUGUUCCUGUUUUGAGCGCGCAGUAAGUGAAACUUGAGCAUUGAGAUUACCUCUUCCCUCUUGCGUAAGCUUCGGUCAACCAGUGUAGAAGAGCUUUCACCAGGUAGGUAAGGAAGGUGUAGAGGAGGAGGUUGACCGUAAACAAUCUCAAAAGGUGUGCUCUUGAUAGCAGAGUGAUAGGUUGUAUUGUACCACCAUUCUGCUAGGGUGAGCCACUUGCUCCAAGUCUUCGGUGCUUCAGCAGUCAUGCAUCGCAGGUAAGUCUCCAGUGUCUUGUUUGUGAUCUCAGUCUUCCCGUCAGUUUGAGGGUGAUAGGCAGUAGAGUAUCGCAAGUCUACACCGUGGACUCUGAAUAAUUCCUUCCAUACCUCACUUAAGAAAGUGGGGUCUCUGUCACUGACAAUGUCCUUUGGAAGGCCAUGUAGCUUGAAGAUGUUGUCUAAGUAGGCUUGCGCAACUUCAAUAGCAGUGUAGGGGUGAGAUAAAGCAAUGAAGUGUGCAUUCUUACUGAGCCUGUCGAUGACCACGAGAAUGCAAUGCUUCCCAGAAGAUGGAGGGAGUCCUUCAAUGAAGUCCAUGCUGAUUGAUUCCCAAACACCUUGCGGAACUGGUAGCGGAUGCAACAAACCAGGCUUUGCCACAUUCUCAUAUUUGUUUUUCUGACACACGCUGCAAUUCCUCACAUAAUUCUGAACUUCCAGAGACAUUUUCGGCCAAAAGAAGAGCGAUUUGAUUCUGUGGAGUGUAGCAUCUCUACCUGAGUGUCCUCCCACUGCAGAGUCGUGUAACCACUUGAAAAUGUGAGUUUUGAUCUCCACGUUGUUGCCAACUACUAGCUUUCCUUUUCUUCUCAAUUCAUCGUUAGCAUAUGUGUAUUGCGGAUGAGACAGCUUGUUGGUCUUCAAUUCCAUGAUCAGUUUGGAAAGGUGAGGGUCCGUCUGCCACAGAAGUUUCAGGGAGUCGAAGAACCCCUGAUGGGCUUGAGGUAAUGAAAUGUGGAGGAGUUGAGAACCCGAGACUCGAGAGAGAGCGUCUGCGGCCACAUUUUCUUUCCCAAGCUUGUACUGCACCUCGAAAUCAUAUCCCAUGAGCUUAGAAAGCCACAUAUGUUGGAAUGGAGUAGUAGCUUUCUGUUCCAUCAUAUAUUUGAGACUUUUUUGGUCUGUUUUGAUGAUGAAAGGGCGAUGUGCGAGAUAUGCACUCCAUGUCUGAACAGCAAAGACUACAGCCAUUAACUCCUUCUCGUAGACUGAAAGUGCUUGCUGUCGAGGACCUAGAGCACGACUGAUGUAGCAGAUUGGGUGACCUUCUUGCAUAAGUACUGCACCAAUUCCCGUGUUGCAAGCAUCCGUUUCUACAACAAAGGUUUUGUUGAAAUCCGGUAGAGCAAGAACAAGAGCAGAGCUGAGAGCAUCCUUAAGGUUGUCAAGUGCAGUAUCAGCUUCAGGACUCCAAAUGAAACCGCCUUUCUGCAGCAGUGUAGUGAGAGGGCGAGACAGUAUAUUGUAUCCUCUGAUAAAGCGUCUGUAGUAGUUAGCUAGUCCAAGAAAGCUCCUCAAUUGCUUUAUAGAAUUAGGGGUUGGCCAGCGUUUGAUAGCGUCCACCUUAGCUGGAUCAGUGUUUACUCCUUUUGCCUCAAUGAAGUGCCCCAAGUACUCAAUCUUUGUGGCUCCAAAUGUGCAUUUCGAAGCUUUAAGAUAGAGCUGCUGUUGGCGUAGGAUGGAGAACACUUCUUGAAGGUGAAUCAUAUGAGUUUCCCAAUCUGGACUGUAAACCAAGAUGUCGUCAAAGAACACUAGGAGGAAUUUCCUUGAAAUGUCUUUGAAAACAUGGUUCAUGAGGCUCUGAAAAGUACAAGGUGCGUUGGAGAGGCCAAAGGGCAUAACCAGGUACUCAUAGUGGCCUGCGUGGGACUUGAAAGCAGUCUUAUACACAUCAUUAGGAGACAUCCUCAACUGAUGAAACCCGGCGCGGAGGUCAAGCUUAGAGAAGUAGACUGCUCCACCUAAUUCAUCAAGAAGGUCUUCUAGCAGAGGUAUUGGAUAUUUAUCCUUAACUGUUUGGGUGUUAAGGCCUCUGUAGUCAACACAGAGACGCCAGCCGCCGUCCUUUUUCUUCACGAGCACAAUAGGUGAUGCAUACGGACUGUUGCUGCACUGGAUGAUUCCCUGUUGGAGCAUGUCUUUCAAUAGUUCAUCAAUAGCAUCUUUCUGUAAGGAGGAGUACCUGUAGGGUCUAUGGUUCACGGGAUUCGCAUCAGCUUUCAACGGGAUCGUAUGGUCAAAGCCUUCUCUGAAUGGAGGGAGAUUCGUAGGUUCCUCGAACAGUUCAGAGUAUGAGGAUAUAAGUGACUGCAGGAGUGGAUCGUCAGAUAGCUCGCUCUUGGGCGCUGAGAUGUGGGAAAAGAGAGACUCUGGAACAAGUGGAGAGGUAGUUUCAGAGGUAUCUACUUCCCGGAUCUGUAGCAAGGCAAUCUGUGGUUGUUGUAGCAUCAGGUUGUUGAGGCUUGCUCCUUUGAUCAGUUUGCAACCUGAUUUAGUUACUCCGCGCAGCACAUGCUUGAGACCGUUGAGGUUGAACUCCAUUAUUAAAUUCAGGAAAUCCCAUAAGAUUGGUCCGAGUGUUGAUAGCCACUGAACACCCAAUACAAGUUCACAACAGUCGAGUGGGAGUGUCCUUAUUUCAGUGGUGAAAGAAUACCCUUGCACUGACCAAGUGAAAUUGUUGCAUUUGUACUUCGUAAUCAUGUUGUUACCGUUGGCUGCGGCGACAGACAUGGGGUUGGAGGCGUCGAGUUUGCACCCAAGUUCGUGAGCAACUUUGAUAUCCAAGAAUUUAUGUGUGCUUCCCGGAUCCACCGGUAUGUAAAGCUUUCGCUUUCCAUACUUCCCAAUAACUCUCAUGCAGUUAAAUGUGGUGGAGCCACUGAGAGCAUUGACAGAUAUAACUGGAGUGGGCUCAGCUUGAGCUUCCUCAUCAGUGAGAUCAGUGAUUUUCUCAUUCUCGAGCAAGGGGUCCUCAUCGUCAUCCUCAUCUUCGCAUUCCAUGACAAAAAUCUGAGAUCUUUUGUGUUUUAGUUGAUGCCCCGGUGUGAAAGCUUCAUCACAAAACAUACAGAGUCCCUUGGCUCUGCGAUCUUGCAUCUCCUGGUAAGAGAACUUGCGAGCAGGUCUAUCAGUGUUGCUCUUGGGGAUGAAAGUAGGUUUAGUGGUAUGCUUUGGUAGCUCAGGAGCAGGUAACAGUGGUGUUUGUUGUUUGUACGGAGCACCAUAGUUUUUCUGCUGUUGAGAAGGAUUGAAGGGAGCCCUGUAAGAGCGCUGAGGAGUAGCAGCCAAAGAAGACUCGUGUAGGCUAGCUAUUCUUGCAGCAUCAGAUAGAGAUGUAGAGCCAAACUGACGAACAUGGAGUGACAGGUGGGGGUUCAUGUUUGUCAGAAAGAUGCUUAAGGCAUGAGCUUCUGGUAAGGAAAGUCGGGUUCUUGCGUUCUCGAACUUCUCCAGAUACUCGGGAACAGAGUCAGUGCCUUGUUUCAACGCGACGAGAUCCGCCAGAGGGUCAUCGAAGAGGCCGUUGAAUCUACCUGAGAGCGCGAUGAUGUAGUUUGUCCAAGAUGGAAAGAUCCCAAACUGCUCAGCUAAGUAGUUCCUGUGCCAUUGAAGGGCCUUGCCGAUCAUAUGCAUAGCAGCAAGUCGGACUUUCAACUCGGGGGCUGUGUUAUCAAUGUCGAAGAACUGCUCGCAACGACAGAUCCAGUCACAAAACUCCGUACCAUCAAAGGCUGGGAAGGUCAGCUAUGUCAGCCUGUUGGAGAGAGUAUUCUGAGGUGGGGUUGAACGGUCGCCGGGUGUGUACUGACGGAAUCGCUGGAGAUUUGGGGGAUCUGGGGGUCGGGUUGACUCCGCUGAGGUCGGAUCCAUCAUCUGAGACCCACCAGUGUCGUUGAACUGUUGUUUCCCUUGCGCCUGGAUUUGAGAAACGUGUUCAAAGACGAGUCUUUCAAGUUUGUUGUAGCGUUCGUCGAGUGAGUCAAUACGUUGACGGAACUCGUUUGUCUGGUUUUCUUGACCUGCGCGGAUCUACUCGACCAGCUCGAGCAUCGUCUUCUCUUGGUUACGUGUUUCCACCAUAGCUAGAUCCCUGAGGUUCGAGAUGGCUCUGAUACCAAAAUGAGACAGUAAAAGAGUAUGUGAGAUAAAUCUCUCUGUAAACCUUCCGUAGAUUUAAAGAGAAAUGAAAUCAAGGACUGAAAGGUGAUCUAAGCUUUAGAAAUGUCACCUCUAAGUGCAAUGAUCUGAGCAAUAACGGCAACAAUGGCGUAUGCUUACGAAAGAGAGAGAGAAAGGAGGAAGAUAAGAUAAUACUGACUCAUUACUUUUAGCUAAAUGCCAAUGUAGUACAUAUAAAGGAAAUAUUCCUAACGGUCAACAAGCGACCUGUAACCGGGAUGCAACCCGUGAGUCACAUAGUUAACUAGGUAACUUAUUGGAAGGUAAAGAUAGUAAAAGAUAGGAGAGUAGAGAGGUAAAUGCUGUCACAUCACUGUUAUCCCUUUCUAACUUAACAGCUAUAGCAGUCCUCUGCCUUUUCAAGGAGCUACUAAUAACUCCAUCAGAUUUAACUUCCACAUUCUUGAUACAAAGGGUGUUUUCUUGGAACCUCGAGCAUUGUCUCCAAACUUUUUCGACUGUCCAACAACUGAAGGAUAACUUCCACAUUCUAUCAAUUCGCUGCUCUCAUCUGAGUAUGACACUGAACUGUUCACAGAUUCAAGAUUAUCUUCAGCAACUUCUUCCACAUCAGACCUAUCAAUCAUGUUCCUUAAUUCAUCAUCCCAUCCACGAGUGUUUCGGAGACCUUACACUGGAUUUAGAAUCACGGCUCAGUUCACUGGGAGAUUCUACCACUUGUGUCUCAUCUACUUCUCUGUCUGAAUCAUCCAAUGAAUCAACAAAAGUAUCUUCUUCAACAUUAGAAACUGCUUCUAAAACAAAAAACAAAAAAAAAAAACGGAAGCUCAUCAUAGACUGUAUUUUUUUUUUUUGAUCAAACAUCAUAAACCAAAAAAAGAAAAACAGAGAGAAAUCCACAACCUGAUAUUUUUAUUUGCUUUACAACCUUUCCAAAUGA